AACACUAUGAUAAGAGACUGUCGGCUGUUCUGACCCUAGGUCUUGUAAGGCUAAAACUUAAACUAGGUCCUCAGGAGAAUGAACUUCCAAGCAAUGGGCAGCAGAACAACAUAUUGCUGAGCAACUGUCAAAAAAAACCCCACAAGACUUCUGACAGGGACAUUCCACAAAGCACAGUAUGGAGCAAGCAAAGACUACGUCAUGAAGAUUUACAAGAGGAAAAUUAAAGAAGUGAAGGAAGAAGACACGGGUCACCACAGAGGCACGUAAAAUAGCUUUCCUAUUGAUGGAGUCUUCACCUUUCAGGUUUCUGCAGUGAACUAGUGGUAACAGUUGCCUUGAUGUAUCUUCUGUCACAUAUUCUUGUUUUAACAUCGUUAUUGCCUUCAGCUGAUGUCAGCACAGUAAUCUCUGGAUUUGUAGAUGAAGAUGUGAUCCUGCCUUGCUUCUUCCCUCCUAAUGAGAGAUUUUAUCACUCAACAAUUGAUAUUUUGUGGAAAUUUAAAAGUGAAAACAUUGCUGUUCAUUAUGUCUUUGAUGGGGCAUUUCAAAGGCAAAUGCAGAAUGAAAAAUUUGCUGAACGCACAAUGCUUUUUCAUAAAGAGAUUUCUAAGGGAAAUGUGUCCCUGUUACUAAAAAAUCUACAAGAAUCAGAUACUGGGAUAUAUGAAUGUGCUGUAUGGAUUAAGGAGUAUAAAUCUACAAAUAUAGAGCUCAUUGUUAAAGAAAAAACAUAUGGAUAUACAAACUAAAGUUCAAUAAUCGCUAUUUCAGUGCCUGUGGUAAUUUUCUGCAUUGUGGUUACAUUAUGCAUUUUUUCAAGGCGAAGAAAGAGAAGCAGGGGAAAAACAGAUUGAAGAUCCACAUUAUGCGCUGAGUCCUGAUAAAUCGGUUCCCAUGAAACACGUGGACAUAAUACAGUUGUGUUAAGGUGCAGAUUCAUUAAACUUCAUUUAAUGAGUUGUUGAUUUUAA
Rana temporaria (common frog) is the source of this 974-nucleotide long non-coding RNA. RefSeq lists it as uncharacterized. The record is from RefSeq and is a predicted model, not a curated record. The transcript has 7 exons. NCBI's taxonomy places the organism in Eukaryota, Metazoa, Chordata, Amphibia, Anura, Ranidae.